RNAcentral lists this long non-coding RNA (314 nucleotides) under Elaeis guineensis (African oil palm). RNAcentral's name for it is "long non-coding RNA (EGUI_LNC009839)". The record is from RNAcentral. Lineage: Eukaryota; Viridiplantae; Streptophyta; Magnoliopsida; Arecales; Arecaceae.
UCAUCGAAACUCUUUUCGAUGAACUAGAACAAUUCUAGUUCACCUCAAUAAGGAUCUUUGAUCUGAAAACAAUCAUAGUGAGUUUUCAAUCCACCCGUGAUACCAGCAGCAUGUACUGAUAAUUUAGUAGAACAAAAAAUAUGAACCUCUAGGUGCAGUUACCAUGUGAUUCAUUCCUUUUAUCAUGAGUUCUGACUUGAUAGAGGUUAUGGAGAACUCGUCAAACCUCAUCGUCAAUCAUAUGCUAGAUUGGCUCAACUCGAGUUUACUUGUGAAUCUCGUGGAAACUCUUUUCCUCAGUAUUCAUACUUGGU